Molecule: long non-coding RNA, 520 nt
Filed under: Athene cunicularia (burrowing owl)
Lineage: Eukaryota; Metazoa; Chordata; Aves; Strigiformes; Strigidae
Description: lncRNA (ENSACUG00000014585.1)
Source: RNAcentral
CUCGCCUGUCCGACCGUAGGUGCCGUCCGGCCGGGGAGCGGCGCUCCCGGCCUGGGGUUCCCCCAGCGUGGGGCCUUUCCCGCCCGCAGCGCUGAGGCCGAGGGUUUUCACCGUGAGCGUGGGGCUCCAGCCCUUCGCGUGGGUAUCGCUUAUCCCGUGUGUCCUUCCGGGGUCGCCUCCGGCCGAGCUGCUGGCGGGGGUUGCGGAAUGGGGCGGGGAGCACCCAAACUGCGGUCGCUUGGGCGAGGGAAGGCCAGAAGUGGGUAGCGGAGGGAAAACGGGUAGUUUCAGUGAUUUGGCUUAUGCUGCGGGUCUGCAAAGAGUCGAAGCAGCCACACUGCAGGCAGGAGCUGUAAGUUGCGGCAGCGACGUAGGAGUGAGCCAAGGAACCAGGAAACAUGAAAUCACUCAUCCUCUGCCUAGGUAUAAAAGAAGUUUGAAGAGUUUAUAUGCCUGUACCCGCCAAGAUGAGGCAAGAAAAAGAUUGACUUUUUGCACCUGGUUUCCUAACAACUUAUAA